CCUACGGGGGGCAGCAGUCGAGAAUCAUUCACAAUGGGGGAAACCCUGAUGGUGCGACGCCGCGUGGGGGAAUGAAGUUCUUCGGAUUGUAAACCCCUGUCAUGUGGGAGCAAAUUAAAAAGAUAGUACCACAAGAGGAAGAGACGGCUAACUCUGUGCCAGCAGCCGCGGUAAUACAGAGGGCUGAAGCGGUGUUCGGAAUCACUGGGCGUAAAGGGUGCGGGGGCUGUUACGUAAGUCGUGAGGGAAAGGCGCGGGCUCAACCCGCGGACGGCACAUGAUACUGCGAGACUUGAGUAGUGGAGGGGUAAGCGGAAUUCUCGGUGUAGCAGUGAAAUGCGUAGAUAUCGAGAGGAACACUCGUGGCGAAGGCGGGUUCCUGGACAUUAACUGACGCUGAGGCACGAAGGCCAGGGGAGCGAAAGGGAUUAGAUACCCCAGUAGUC
This 446-nucleotide ribosomal RNA is filed under the name uncultured bacterium. RNAcentral describes it as "partial 16S ribosomal RNA". It matches the Rfam family "Bacterial small subunit ribosomal RNA", at positions 338 to 795 of the family's 1533-position model. The record is from RNAcentral.